This 243-nucleotide long non-coding RNA is filed under the name Phaseolus vulgaris (common bean). RNAcentral describes it as "long non-coding RNA (PVUL_LNC004579)". Lineage: Eukaryota; Viridiplantae; Streptophyta; Magnoliopsida; Fabales; Fabaceae. The record is from RNAcentral.
GGGGUUGGAAUAUCAUAAAAGAAGGGAAGUAAUAGGUAAAAGGGGGAAUUGUAAAUUGUAUAGAGCCUUAAGAUGGACAGAGAAUUUUCUCUGAGAAGAUACAUGCUCUGGAAAUUGUGUACUAUUCUGUGCUGUCUUUCAAUUUCUUGUGAAAUUUUUUUCUGGUUUCCUAACAGUUCAACAUACAACACAAUGGUGGGCUCACGCUCCUGAGACAAAAUAGAGAAAAAUACAAAAUAAUUG